This 440-nucleotide ribosomal RNA is filed under the name uncultured bacterium. RNAcentral's name for it is "partial 16S ribosomal RNA". It matches the Rfam family "Bacterial small subunit ribosomal RNA", at positions 338 to 795 of the family's 1533-position model. The record is from RNAcentral.
CCUACGGGAGGCUGCAGUGGGGAAUAUUGCACAAUGGGGGAAACCCUGAUGCAGCGACGCCGCGUGAGUGAAGAAGUAAUUCGUUAUGUAAAGCUCUAUCAGCAGGGAAGAAAAUGACGGUACCUGACUAAGAAGCCCCGGCUAACUACGUGCCAGCAGCCGCGGUAAUACGUAGGGGGCAAGCGUUAUCCGGAUUUACUGGGUGUAAAGGGAGCGUAGACGGCAGUGCAAGUCUGAAGUGAAAGGCAGGGGCUUAACCCCUGGACUGCUUUGGAAACUGUCAGGCUGGAGUGCUGGAGAGGUAAGUGGAAUUCCUAGUGUAGCGGUGAAAUGCGUAGAUAUUAGGAGGAACACCAGUGGCGAAGGCGGCUUACUGGACAGUGACUGACGUUGAGGCUCGAAAGCGUGGGGAGCAAACAGGAUUAGAUACCCGGGUAGUC